GAGGAGUCUAAGAAGUCCCGCAAACAUGGUAGUGACCGAAAAAAAUCAAGGAAGCACGCAUAUUCACCUGAAUCAGACAGUGAGAGUAGGCACAGAAGGCACAAGAGAGAUCAUCGAGAUGGUUCCCGUAGAAAUCACGAUGAACUUGAAGAUGGGGAGCUUGGCGAGGAUGGGGAAAUUCAAUAGUUCUUUGCUUUCCAUAUCUGGAUUUUGCUUCUACGUUUCGGGGGGGCCAGCCGUUCACGAGCAUGAUCGAUUGAUGCGAUUUGAAGAGUUAGUGGUGGUAAACUUCCGGAAAGGAUUCUUUUGAAGAGGAGAUGAAGGGUGACCCAGUUAUCAUUCUUCCAUUGUCUGUUAGUGGAUACAUACUUCUGUAGUGUUCUUUAUAGGAGUUAGUGGCGUAUAUGAACCAGCCAUUUGAUUGGAAGCCAUUUUAUUUAUUUU
RNAcentral lists this unclassified non-coding RNA (444 nucleotides) under Hevea brasiliensis (rubber tree). Lineage: Eukaryota; Viridiplantae; Streptophyta; Magnoliopsida; Malpighiales; Euphorbiaceae. The record is from RNAcentral.